AUCAAGCAUCAGCUUUAGGUCCUUAUUUGUUUGCACUUAUCAUGGAUUAUUUAACCAGAGACAUUCAAGAUGAGGUUCCUUAGUGUAUGCUUUUCACUAAUGAUAUUGUUUUGGUGGAUGGAACAAAAGCAGGGAUUAAUGCCAAGUUGGAAUUAUGGAGAUCAAUCUUGGAAUCAAAAGAUUUUAGGAUAAGUACAAUGAAGAUGGAGUAUCUGAUGUCUAACUCUAGUCAUG
Molecule: long non-coding RNA, 234 nt
Organism: Telopea speciosissima
Lineage: Eukaryota; Viridiplantae; Streptophyta; Magnoliopsida; Proteales; Proteaceae
Exons: 3
Source: RefSeq, a predicted model, not a curated record